UCCGCCUCCCGGGCUCUUCCCGCGGGGCCGCGUCACCUCCUCACUGCCUAGGCCGGGGCACCCAGCAGGCGGCAGCCGCCCCUCCCCGAGCGCGACCUCAGGGCUGGGACCCGGGCCAGGCGGGGAGGGAGGGGAGACUGAGCUUGAAGGGAGGGGGCGCCGGAGUUUUCUGGGACGGAAGUGUGGAGAAUGCGUGCGUGUGAGGGGGCGCCUGAGGUGUCGGGAGCGGAGAGAAGGAGUUCAACAAUUUUUAUGAAUUUCUAAUCCAACCUCAUCAUCCUAUGGGAAACAGAAGACCACCAAGAACAGCCAGCUGGAAAUAAUGGAGACAGAGGAACAUAGUAAACUGCACCAAAAGAUUGUAGUCUGUGGAACACUUGAGAACAUUCUACAUGACAAAACCCAGUUUUUUCAGUAAACAUAUUGCAAGGGGGAUAUAUAGUUUAAACAAGACUAAAAGACAUCAACCAAGU
Long non-coding RNA from Sapajus apella (tufted capuchin), 473 nucleotides. RefSeq lists it as uncharacterized. The record is from RefSeq and is a predicted model, not a curated record. The transcript is spliced from 3 exons. Lineage: Eukaryota; Metazoa; Chordata; Mammalia; Primates; Cebidae.